UCGCGACGCGGGGCCGCCACCGCCGCCGGGCCGAGGGAGGGCCCGGCAACCGCCGCCUGCGCGCCGGCUGCCCCUCGGCUCCUGGGAGCCGCGGCGCUACGGGCCUGCCGAGCACUCGGGCGGGCGCCGAGCAGGCUGGGCCCCGGCGCAGUGGCCUAGCCUGGACCGCAAGGCCGAAGCCGCCUCCGGGCCGCGUCCCGGUGUUUCGGGUUGUGUAACCUUGGCCAAAAUGCUUAAGCUUUUUUCCUGGCUGCCAAAUGGGGCCGAUCGUCUGACCUGCUGCCUCCGGAACUUGAGGGAUCAGAUCAAAUAACCCUUUCCUGGCGCUCGUCUGCCGCUGUGAAUGAAUCACGGGCUCCUGUAAUCACCGUUAGGAGAGAUUGUUAAACUCGUACAGGGUUGGAUGUUUUAAAGUUACUGAAUAUUUACUGGACCCCUACUGUUCAAUCAAGACAUGCUAAGUUAGCUUGCCAUUCUUGUUCAUUUAUGUGUUUACUUAACUAUUUCUGGGUCUCCUCUUCCCAGUCAUAAAUAUCUCUUGGAGUGUAAGCUCCUCGGAGCAGAGAUCCUGUUUCCGUAUUUCCUGUACCUAGAACAGUGCCAGAUCCGUAGUAGACACUGAAACAAAAAAUCUUUAAAAAAAAAAAAAUAUACGAAUGUGGCACCACCAUUUACACAGGCCACUAAGCCAAAAAUCUCGAACUUGUCAGAUUGUCUCUUCUCAGCCAUCAGCAGUCAACAAGUUCUAGCAUUUGGUCUCUUAAAAGUGGUUCAAGAGUUUAUUUUUCCUCUCCUUCCUCUGCCAGUACCAACCAGUCUUCCGUAUCACUAUGUAUUGCAAGAGUCUCACAAGAAGAUAUCCAUCACUGACUGAUCUUCCUCCCGUUUAACAUCCCCAACAGGUGCCAGGGUGAUGUUUUUUUUAUUCUAAAAAGAAACCAGAUUAUAUCGCUCACUCCCUUGCUUAAAACAGUUCUUCAAUGUUAGGUAAAUAAAUCAUGGAGUCACCACGAGGGCGUUCAUCUGCCAGGCACUAUUCUGAACGAUAUUGGCUCAUUAAAUUCUCACAGAAACCCUAUGCAGCAGGUACGGUGAAAAUGUUCCUGUUACAGAUGAGGUAACUGAAGCACAGAGAGCUUGAGUGGCUUGCUGAAACACCAGACCCACUCAGUCUGGCUCCAUAAUAGGUCUUUUUGCUGGUAAUGAUUUACCAACUAUACAGCCACUUUAAAAAAAGGAAAUAGGGCCCUUGUGACUGGACCUCAUGCCAAACAACUCGUUACAAAAAGAGCUAGGGUUCCAGACUGCGCCGAAGCUUCAUGAGACCUCUCCUUGUCUGCAUGGACGAGUGGCCAACUCUGGAGCCCAGGCUGUUGCUUCCCAGUCUGGUGGUGAAUCCUCCAUAGUCUGAUCUUGUUGCCAUAUAAAAGGCUAUGAAUUAAAGGCCACGUGUAGAGAGGCCCCGGAGGAUGAGAGGUUUCCUUGGAUGUUCCAGCCCAAGCAGGGCUUACUGCUGAAUGCUGGCUCAUGAAUGACCCCAGCCGAUGCCACAGAGGAAAGAUGAACCACCGUCCCCCACUGAGUCCUGUUUAAGUUGUAGGAUAAGGUAUAAAUGAAGGGUUGUUUUAAGCCACUACAUUUUGGCAUGGUUUAUUGCAUGGCAAGAGAUAACAGAAACUGUAUAACAGGGGCCGGGUGCAGACUACAGCCACAAAGUAGAGUAAAAUCCAUUGGUCUGUCAUUUAGUAACAUUUUCUAACCAGAUGAGCCAGCCAACCCUGGGCACUAAACCACUGCACAAGGGGAAAAGCACAGUUUAUUCUUCCCAUCUUCUCCUCACCCCAGGCUAUCCCCCAAAAAACAUAUACACAAAAUCUAUUCAAUUACUCUGAACCUGAAAUUAGUGCAUUUCUCUUGUUAAAUUUCCAGCUGUCACUCUCCUUCCCCACCCUGGGAUGCACUGUUCUCACCCUGAGAGGGUUCUACCACUUUCCUCCUCCACAGGUCUGAGAGACAGAGAUAGCCACCUGUCCCUUGCUCCUUCUGCCACCUGUGAUCCCUGAGGACAUCUCUCCCAUUCCUGAACUUGUCAGAAUUCUCAAAUUGCCCCCAGUGGGCUUUGCAUACAAAUGAUCACCCCCAUUAUGUAAGAGGAAGUUUUCUCCUCUGUCCAGACUAGACUUCCCAGGCAGUCACGUGAUAGGCUGUGGGUCUGUUUUGACAGGUAAUGAGGGCAGAGAAAGGAGCUAGGAUCUACUCGCACCUUUGCCAUUCACUGGCUAUGUAACCUUGGGCAAAAUUCUCUCUCUUUCCGGGUCACAAAUACCCCAUCUAUAAAGGAUGAAGGAAAACUAGCUCAGAGGUUCUUGACCUAAGUCCAUGGGUGGGCAAAAUUGUGUGUGUGUGCCCACAGACACAUGCAUACACCUGUGCAUGUAUCUGGGGGACACAGCCAAAGUAUGUAUCAGAUUCUCAAGGGGCUUUGUGAUGCAGAAAAGAUUAAGAACCCCCAGAGUUAGAUAACCUUCCUGCUCCAACAUGCGUUAUGGGGUUCUCUGCCCGACAUUUAAGGAGAUAUGAGUCCUGAAAUUCAGCUGCUCUCUGGCUCUUUUAUUGCUUUCCUAGCUGUUUUAUUAGCACUGAAAUGUAUGAAAGAAGAGAAACUCAAUCUAUGUGGCUUGUGAAGCCAAUGUGUCUGGAGUCAGCUAACACUGCCCUGGAUACGGGAACAAAGCCCUCGGCUCCUGCCUGAUGCAUCAGGCUGUAUUGUCUGUGCAAUCAGACGACUAUUGAAGCUUUCCAGCCAAAAGGAAGGCAUUUCCUAAUUAGAUCCUCAACCUGCCUGUAAAGUUGGAAUGUUCAAAUUUGAGUUCAUUAUUUUCUUUUUCUCUUCUUUCUUUUUAUUUUACUUGAGUACAUUGUUUUCUGAUAUUUCUGACUCUGUGCCCUUUCCUUUGCUUUAUCAUAGUUGAGGAAGCAGCAAAGAAUGGUGGCUAAGAGCCUUGGCUCUGUAUCCAGAAUGAGUUCAAAUUCCGGCUAUUCCACAUUAGCUAUUUAACCUAGGCCAGAGCACUAAGCCUCUUGCUUCCUCCUCAGUAAACAAAGAUGACAGUCCCUAUUCCAUAGAGCUUCAGUGAGAAUUAAAUUAGAUAAUCUAUAAAGAGGCUUAGAAUAUAGUAAAUGCUCAAUAAAUGUUACCUAUUAGUAUUAGGUUUUGAUAUUUAGAAAAGGGCCAGAGUAAUAAUUAUCACGUAACUAGGUUUCAUGGGAUACAAAGCAAACCUCAUAGUCAAACAGUAACUCGGCCCCACCUUUUAUACCUCUCAAACCCAAACCAGGCCCCACUGGAGAUCUCCUGGGCUCUUAAGAGGAUGUUUCCUAAGGUCCAAGGGUGCCAGCUGGAGCCCAGUCAAGAAGACCCCACCCCCGCACCCCCAGCU
This 3440-nucleotide long non-coding RNA is filed under the name Homo sapiens (human). Its description in RNAcentral is "HSALNT0359446". The record is from RNAcentral. Lineage: Eukaryota; Metazoa; Chordata; Mammalia; Primates; Hominidae.